RNAcentral lists this ribosomal RNA (1650 nucleotides) under Gymnorhamphichthys sp. NM-2010. Its description in RNAcentral is "16S rRNA". It matches the Rfam family "Bacterial large subunit ribosomal RNA". The record is from RNAcentral. Lineage: Eukaryota; Metazoa; Chordata; Actinopteri; Gymnotiformes; Rhamphichthyidae.
GCCAAACAGCUAGCUUAACCAAUUAAACUUCUAACCCCCCUCAAAACGUUCAAAAAUAAACCAAAAUACCAAAUCAAAACAUUUACUUGGCCCCAGUAUGGGCGACAGAAAAGGCUCCUAAAAGCAAUAGAUAAAGUACCGCAAGGGAAAGCUGAAAAAGUAAUGAAACAACCCAUUAAAGCACCAAAAAGCAGAGCUUAAUCCUCGUACCUUUUGCAUCAUGAUUUAGCCAGUCCAAUCAAGCAAAGCGCACUUUAGUUUGUGCCCCCGAAACCAAGUGAGCUACCUCGAGACAGCUGUAAAGAGCAAACCCGUCUCUGUGGCAAAAGAGUGGGAAGAUCUCCAGGUAGCAGUGACAGACCUACCGAACUUGGUGAUAGCUGGUUGCCUAAGAAUUGGAUAGAAGUUCAGCCUCGCACCCCUUACGCCUCCUUCCCCACGACAACAAGAGAAAUGCGAGAGUUACUCAAAGGGGGUACAGCCCCUUUGACCCAGAACACAACCUUCCCGGGAGGUUAAGGACUACAUUCUAUAAGACCCCUGCCUACGUAGGCCUAAAAGCAGCCACCACAACAGAAAGCGUUAAAGCUCGAGCAGACAAAAGUCCUUUAUUCAAGUAUUAUCUUCAAAACCCCCAGUUUUACUAGGCCUCUCUAUAGCUUAUAGAGAAGAUCCUGCUAGAAUGAGUAACAAGAAGACACCCUCUUCUCCUGGCACAAGUGUUAGUCAGAUCGGACCAACCACUGACAAUUAACGAACCCAACUAAAGAGGGCAUUGUGGCCUUCAUAGACCCCAAGAAAACCCCACAGUCAAUAACCGUUACCCCUACACCGGAGUGCCUACCAGGAAAGACUAAAAGAGGGGGAAGGAACUCGGCAAACACAAGCCUCGCCUGUUUACCAAAAACAUCGCCUCUCGCAACCAAUGAGAGGUCCUGCCUGCCCGGUGACUAAGUUUAACGGCCGCGGUAUUUUGACCGUGCAAAGGUAGCGCAAUCACUUGUUCUUUAAAUAAGGACCUGUAUGAAAGGCAAAACGAGGGCUUUACUGUCUCCCCCCUCAAGUCAGUGAAAUUGAUCUGCCCGUGCAGAAGCGGACAUAAAAAUACAAGACGAGAAGACCCUUUGGAGCUUUAGACACAAGUCAUCUAUGUCAAUAAUGCUGUCCACCAGCCAAAACUAAAUAGAAUUGACCCACGUCUUCGGUUGGGGCGACCGCGGGGCAAAACAAAACCCCCACGUGGAAAUGAGGCAAAGUCCUUACAACCAAGAGGCACCCCUCUAAGUCACAGAACUUCUGACCAGCAGAUCCGGCUACCCGCCGAUCAACGGACCAAGUUACCCAAGGGAUAACAGCGCAAUCCUCUUUAAGAGUCCCCAUCGACAAGAGGGUUUACGACCUCGAUGUUGGAUCAGGACAUCCUAAUGGUGCAGCCGCUAUUAAGGGUUCGUUUGUUCAACGAUUAAAGUCCUACGUGAUCUGAGUUCAGACCGGAGUAAUCCAGGUCAGUUUCUAUCUGUAAUACAAUCACCCCUAGUACGAAAGGACCGGAGUGAUAAGGCCAAUACUACAAGCACGCCUUACUUCCACUUAAUGCAGCCAACUAAAUUAAGUAAUAAAUGAGUACACCUAAGCCUAAGACAACGGCUG